Molecule: ribosomal RNA, 381 nt
Filed under: Staphylococcus aureus
Lineage: Bacteria; Bacillati; Bacillota; Bacilli; Caryophanales; Staphylococcaceae
Description: bacterial LSU rRNA
Rfam family: Bacterial large subunit ribosomal RNA
Source: RNAcentral
UCCUGGGGCUGUAGUCGGUCCCAAGGGUUGGGCUGUUCGCCCAUUAAAGCGGUACGCGAGCUGGGUUCAGAACGUCGUGAGACAGUUCGGUCCCUAUCCGUCGUGGGCGUAGGAAAUUUGAGAGGAGCUGUCCUUAGUACGAGAGGACCGGGAUGGACAUACCUCUGGUGUACCAGUUGUCGUGCCAACGGCAUAGCUGGGUAGCUAUGUGUGGACGGGAUAAGUGCUGAAAGCAUCUAAGCAUGAAGCCCCCCUCAAGAUGAGAUUUCCCAACUUCGGUUAUAAGAUCCCUCAAAGAUGAUGAGGUUAAUAGGUUCGAGGUGGAAGCAUGGUGACAUGUGGAGCUGACGAAUACUAAUCGAUCGAAGACUUAAUCAAAUU